CAGCCGCCGCGGGAAUACGAAGGGUGCAAGCGUUACUCGGAAUUACUGGGCGUAAAGCGUGCGUAGGUGGUGGUUUAAGUCCGUUGUGAAAGCCCUGGGCUCAACCUGGGAAUUGCAGUGGUUACUGGGUCACUAGAGUGUGGUAGAGGAUAGUGGAAUUUCCGGUGUAGCAGUGAAAUGCGUAGAGAUCGGAAGGAACAUCUGUGGCGAAGGCGACUAUCUGGGCCAACACUGACACUGAGGCACGAAAGCGUGGGGAGCAAACAGGAUUAGAUACCCCUGUAGUCCCUGUCUCUUAUAC
Molecule: ribosomal RNA, 301 nt
Filed under: uncultured bacterium
Lineage: Bacteria
Description: partial 16S ribosomal RNA
Rfam family: Bacterial small subunit ribosomal RNA
Source: RNAcentral